UCCCGUCCAUCAGUUUUGAGGGGGAAAAAAGCAGACUGACAAAUGCACCUUAUCAGGAUUGGAUUUCCACGUAGAAGGACGAGAAUGAAGAAGUAAGAGCCAUGACUAUAGUUGCCGAGGCACCUCCCUCUUGUCCCGUGGCUUCACCGUGUCCUUUAUGGAUAUCCAAACGCAGCAGCCCAAGAAGAAGAAGAAGCUCCUUCAGAGGCCGAAGCAGUAGCCUCCAAAGACUGAAACUACCACCUCAAGCUGCUCUGGUCGAGGCCUCCGUCAUCCCUGCGCUUAGUGAUGGGUUCUCUUCUUUCAAGGUCCGUGCACUUCCAGCGGACCGAGGUAAUAAUGACUUGCAGGCCAAGGCCAGAGCCAUGGCACCUUCUGCCCAUGCUUCUGUCAGUAGCACUCAGCUCCUUGCCGAUAAAUAUGAGUCUCAAGCAUUCCAGGUGUUAGGAGGGUCCGUGCAAAUUCUUUCUGAUCCUGCAUACAAGCUUCUCCAACACCAUCCAUUGUUGGACCUCCUCUCUAAAUGCAAAAGCGUGCGAACCUUCAAACAAAUUCACUCGUGCAUUAUCAAGACUGGCAUCUAUGAUACCCCUUUGGCGCAAAGUAAGCUCAUCCAAUUCUGUGCCGUUACGCCUGUUGGCGAUCUCUCUUAUGCUCUCUCACUGUUUGAAUCCAUCGAAAAACCAAACUUGAUCAUGUGGAACACAAUAAUUCGAGGUUACUGGUUGAGUUCCUCUCCAAUUUUGUCUGUACAAGUGUAUGCCCGUAUGAUGAAUUCAGGGGUGGAGCCAAAUUCUUAUACUUUCCCAUUCCUUCUCAAAUCUUGUGCUAAAAUUAGGGCUGUCCGUGAAGGGAAACAAGUACAUGCUCAUAUUUUAAAACUUGGGUUUACAUUCGAUGCUCAUGUGCAUACUUCGCUUAUUACUAUGUAUGCUCAAAUUGGGGACUUGGAUAAUGCUAGGUUGGUUUUUGAUAGUAAUAUUUCACGUGAUGUUGUUUCUUGCACGGCAUUGAUAUCAGGGUAUCUGUUAGAGGGUUAUGUCAAUGAAGCUCGGCACUUAUUUGACAAAAUUCCAGUGAAAGAUGUAGUGUCAUGGAAUGCUAUGAUUGCAGGGUAUGCCCAAAGUGAUCGUUUUGAAGAAGCACUUUCUUGCUUUCAUGAGAUGUUAAAAGCAAAUGUGUUGCCUAAUCAGAGUACUUUGGUGACUGCUCUUUCUUGUUGUGCUCAUUCAGGAUCAUUGGCAUUGGGAAAAUGGAUAAGCUCUUGGAUUAAGGAACAUGGGCUUAGUUCAAAUCUUCAGUUGACUAAUGCUCUUAUUGAUAUGUAUUCAAAGUGUGGUGAGAUUGAUACUGCUCGAGAAUUAUUUGAUGGGAUAGUUGGAAGAGAUGUGAUUUCUUGGAAUGUUAUGAUUGGUGGUUAUUCUCAUAUGAAUCUAUACAAAGAAGCGUUGUCCCUUUUUCAUCUCAUGCUUAGAUCAAACAUAAAGCCCAAUGACAUUACUUUUUUGGCCAUUCUUCCUGCAUGUACUCACUUGGGUGCUCUUGACCUUGGCAAGUGGAUUCAUGCAUAUAUAGAUAAAAACUUUAAGAACAUAAGCAAUGUUUCUCUUCAAACAAGUCUCAUUGACAUGUAUGCGAAAUGCGGUUGCAUUGAGAUGGCAGAACAAGUGUUUAAAAGCAUGAAUUAUCGAAGUGUUGCCACAUGGAAUGCAAUGAUAUCAGGUUUAGCCAUGCAUGGACAUGCAGAGAAGGCUCUAGGGCUUUUCUCUAAAACGGCCAAUAAGGAAUUCCAACCUGAUGACAUCACAUUUGUUGGAGUUUUAUCUGCUUGUAGCCAAGGUGGUCUGGUAGAUCUUGGACGCCAACAUUUUGAAUCAAUGGUCCAAAACUAUAAGAUUGUACCAAAGCUUCAACACUAUGGAUGCAUGAUAGAUCUCCUAGCUAGAGCAAGGAAAUUCGAUGAAGCAAAGGAUCUGAUUAAAAAUAUGGGAGUGGAGCCAGAUGGAGCUAUCUGGGGUUCUCUGCUUAAUGCAUGUAGAGUUCAUGGACAUAUUGAGUUAGGUGAAUAUGUUGCUGAUCGUCUCUUUGAAUUAGAACCUGAAAAUACAGGAGCAUAUGUGCUUUUAUCAAACAUAUAUGCAGCAGCUGGAAGAUGGGAUGAUGUAGCAAGAAUAAGAACCAGAUUAAAUGACAGAGGAAUGAAGAAAGUUCCUGGUUGCACCUCUAUUGAGAUUGAUAGUUUUGUUCAUGAGUUUCUUGUGGGUGAUAGGAGUCAUCCCCAGAGCGAAAAUAUCUAUAAAAUGUUGAAUGAGAUAGAUAAGCUUUUAGAUGCUUCAGGAUUUGUUCCUAAUACAUCUGAGGUAUUGUAUGACAUGGAUGAGGAGUGGAAGGAAGGGACUUUGAGCCAACAUAGUGAGAAGCUGGCUAUUGCCUUUGCCUUGAUAACCACAGAGCCUGGGACUACAAUUAGAAUUGUGAAGAAUCUUCGGGUUUGUGGAAAUUGCCACUCGGCUACCAAGCUAAUAUCUAAGCUCUUCAAUAGGGAAAUAAUUGCAAGAGAUAGAAACCGUUUUCACCAUUUUAAAGAUGGUGUAUGCUCCUGUAAUGACUAUUGGUGAAAACUUUUCGCUUAGAGGAAUAACAAGUACAGAAAGAGAAUUGGAUAAUUCUGCCUUAUGUAAGUUGAUGACAGGUAUAUUGAACACUCUCUAUCUUAAUUUAUUUCUACAUUCAUUUUGAACUAAAACAAUUGAAGAACUUGGAAGAAAAUUCGGGAGCUUACCUGAAUUGUGUUUUGAGCACCACAACGUUAUUCCAUUUAAUAGAUCAUUUUGUUAUUUGUUCAUUGAUUGAUUGAAUUAUGUCCUAGGGACAAAACAAACUCUACAACUGUACAGCAAUGCAUUCUACUAAGGGAACCUUAUCUUGGUUGAUAUAUGCAUGUGAGUUUUAUCAGUGCCUGUCCUCCAAGCCUAACCUCUACUCGCAUGAGUAUCUAGAGGAGCUUGUUGAACUUAAACUAUUAUUAGCUUAGCUUGAGUGAGAAAUUUGAUUGUUUCAGUAAUUAACAUCUAUUGACUGUAUGGCAAGCUCUUCAUUAAUGCUGAGAAAAUUUGUUUUCUGAUGUAGGGUACUGUGUUGUCCUUUGUUGUGAAUUAUGAUAUAAUGCUACAAAGAUGAAAAAAAAAGUAGAGGAUUUUAAAUAAUUUUCACCUCUUGUAGUUUGCUACGAUGCUUUGCUCAUGUUUCAUAAUGAAGGGGCAAUGAGGACUAUCUCCUGAGUCCAUUUUCUCUUCAAUAACUCCUUUUCCCAUAGCAGUGGCCAUUUUGGGUCUAGUUUAUAAAACUUUUCUGAAUUACUCUGGGAGACUUGUGGGUGUUAAGGUGCAACGGCCUUGGCAUUGAAGAAGCUAUAGGAUUAACCUUCAUUCUGGAAAGAGGCCUAGGAUUUUUAAUAAACAUAUAUAUAGACAUAAUUUUCAAUAAUUUGUUUCUUAUUGAUGAAUUUGCAUAUGGAGCUUUCAAGAGCUCGACUAUGUGCAAGUCAAUUCUUCAAUCACUAGCUCAGUGAUUUCAUUGCAAGAAAACAUGGACCUAUUUCCUAUGGAGAAUAUCAAUACAACCAACUUUUAUUGUUCUUUUCUCAUCAUAUUUCAAAGAUUUUUUUUUUUAAAAUAAACUGAGAAAUACCCGAUGUUCAGCCUCAACAAACCAAUUGUCAGACUUUUCAUCACUUUCACAGUGUCUUUGACAAAGAAUCUAAUGAUUGAAACUUUUUCUGUUUAACAUUGUGAACUUUAAGUUGGAGUGUGCCUAACAUGUUAACUAUUAAACUUAGACUACUUAUUUCUGCAUUUUUUCCUGUAGUCUGACUCUGAUGGUUUGCAAUUUUUUUCCCUGGCUAUCCAUUCAUAUUAUGCAUUAAUAUUGAGGUCUCUUGUUGUUCUCAAAAGCCUUAGCGCUUUAAGCUGAUCCUAAUUUCACAGUGCUUGUUGCUUCAUACCCAUAUUUUGCAUAGAAGCUCCUAACAGAUCCAAACCCUUAUCUUAGAGAUGCUCUUAUUUGCCUUGCUUUUCAAGGAUGGGAGAUUCAGGUAUGCAUUACGCUGCUAUAUCAAAUGUGUACUUUAUUUUUUAUAGGAGGGCAUAUAGCAUGUUUGGUAUAAAUACACUUGAAUGUCCAUUAAUCCAGUCAAGUCCAGGUAGAAGGACAGAGAUUUCACUGCAGGAGAUGCUUUACAACCUGUUCUGAAGGUAUUAUUGAGUCCAGAAGGCGAAGAGCUGGGACUUUGGUUAUUUAAGGCCGCUAGUGUAACUGAGGCCUUUUACCCUGAGCAUUACAUAUGAUUCAUACCAGUUCGUUCCUAACUUUAUGAAGACCCUAGUUUAAAAGGCAAUGCAAAUGGACCCCUCAUGAUCUCAAACGCCUGAAUGAAAAGUUUGUUGGAGCUUAAAGAUCAAGUGCGGAGCGUAUGAAGACAUUACACACCUGCAAUCCUUUGAUGGUGGUGGUCGAUCUCUUUUGCAACCUAUUGUAUAGUUUUGGAAACAUUAGCUGUGGGCCGUGGCUUUUCUUAAGGUGAGGCACUACAAGUGUUGGCAAAUUUUGUGGAUCAUGUACUGCUUGUGUGAAUGGAACAAGGGUAAUGGAUCAUGGGAACGUUUUGUUUUAUGUGGAAUGACCAAGGCAAGCUGAAGCUUGAAGAUUAUUACAUUAGCAAAACAAAAAAGGACCCAAUAAAUUAAACAUAGAAGCGUCUAUCUUCCAACAGAAGCGUCUGCAACCCAUUGGAGGUUCUUGUAUCAGUCAUUUCAUAACCCACAUUAUGAGCAUUUUUGCUAGAAAAUUAGCUCAUUGCAUGCUUUCCCUGUAAGAAAAUUAGCACAUUCAAUGUUCCAGUCUUGGAAGAGCAAUUCUAUGCUCUCUUAUUCCAACUUAGCAAUUUCUGAGAUUUUGAGAAGAGUUGCUAUGCAAAGUAUGAUGAAUGUUUUAAGCUGUGUUUUUGGCCUCUAUGGUAGAAUCAGUCAAAGGACACAGUAGUGGUGGGUUAACCUAUCACUGAUGUCAACGGUUCGAGUCUACUCA
Molecule: RNA transcript, 5085 nt
Organism: Prosopis cineraria
Lineage: Eukaryota; Viridiplantae; Streptophyta; Magnoliopsida; Fabales; Fabaceae
Gene name: pentatricopeptide repeat-containing protein At1g08070, chloroplastic-like
Exons: 3
Source: RefSeq, a predicted model, not a curated record